This 440-nucleotide ribosomal RNA is filed under the name uncultured bacterium. RNAcentral describes it as "partial 16S ribosomal RNA". It matches the Rfam family "Bacterial small subunit ribosomal RNA", at positions 338 to 795 of the family's 1533-position model. The record is from RNAcentral.
CCUACGGGCGGCAGCAGUGGGGAAUAUUGCACAAUGGUGGAAACCCUGAUGCAGCGACGCCGCGUGAGUGAAGAAGUUUUUCGGUAUGUAAAGCCCUAUCAGCAGGGGAGAAAAUGACGGUACCUGAUUAAGAAGCCCCGGCUAACUACGGGCCAGCAGCCGCGGUACUACGUAGGGGGCCAGCGUUAUCCGGAUUUACUGGGUGUAAAGGGAGCGUAGACGGCAGCACAAGUCUGGAGUGAAAUGCCGGGGCUUAACCCCGGAACUGCUUUGGAAACUGGCCAGCUAGAGUGCAGGAGAGGUAAGCGGAAUUCGUAGUGUAGCGGUGAAAUGCGUAGAUAUUAGGAAGAACACCAGUGGCGAAGGCAGCUUACUGGACUGUAACUGACGUUGAGGCUCGAAAGCGUGGGGAGCAAACAGGAUUAGAUACCCUAGUAGUC